This 550-nucleotide long non-coding RNA is filed under the name Homo sapiens (human). Its description in RNAcentral is "HSALNT0290130". The record is from RNAcentral. Lineage: Eukaryota; Metazoa; Chordata; Mammalia; Primates; Hominidae.
CAUUUUUAAAGCCCCUCAGGUGAUUCAGUGCAGCCCGGGCAAGAACCCAGCUAUGCUCUGAGAAGUGAGUGGGCAGCAUCUAAUUGCUCUUCAUAAAAAUCCUGCUGUUUUCAGCCCCAGCCCACCCUGGUCUUCCCACAGACAAUGGCCACUCCCAUGCCUGAGCCAUCCCAGAUCCCCAGUUGGAGGAACCAUCCUUUACAGCUGACUGACUCACCAGUCCCUAAUGCUGGUCAGAUGUCCUGAACAAGGAAAGCCGUGAUUUCUGCGACCAGAGAGAAUCGGUCAGUCACGGUGUCCCUCAGCCAAAAUGAACUCAGCCUAUUGUCUCCGGAGAGCUGGUAAAUCGGCAGCUGAAGAAACAUACAGUUCUGUGUUUCAAAAUGCAAAAGACCACAUUUCCCUGACCUCGGGUGCUCGCUGACACAUUCCCAACCAAUGACUAUAAAUCUGCUCCUGGAUUGUGGCAUGUAAGAAUGUAAGAUGUGCCGGCUUCCCCUCCGCCCUCCGCCCUCCGCCAUGAUGAUAAGUUUCCCGAGGCCUCCCCAGC